UGUGUUUCGUAUUUGUAGUGGUAAAGAUAUGUCACGAUGUAGCCAAACGAUGAUUAGAUCCACUAGUGAUCCUCUUUCGCAUAACGGUUGCACGGUAGCGCGUCAUUAGUGACGGCAUGUAGCAGACUGUCACUUUCAAAACGCCGUCUCUCUGGGGAGAACUUCUUUUCAUGGAUAUUUUGAAAUCCGCAUCGAAAGAAGUAUGGCGUCUGGCGGUCGGAGGGGCGUCUGUGCAACGCAAAGAGUUGGUCAGGAGCAAACAGGCGAAGAAUCGUCAGAAAGUGAUGGAGAAACCGAACCAGCUAAAUCGUUCCAUCGCAGGCUAUCAACGAACAAAGAGAUCAAAUCAUCCCAAUACUGAGAGCCAGUUAUGUGUUGUGUGGCACUGUACUAUUUGAAAUUACGCCACUCACAGUCCUGAGCAUCAAAAAUAAAAGAUAAAACUUUUUGGAUUGCAUGCUUUUUUUGCUGUUAUUCUGAAAGGAAACCUGCACAUCAUAUGAAAACAAACAGCACUGUAGCUUCGUAAUAUACAAGGAAAGAUGAACGCAUAAUUUCAGUAAUUAAGUAUUGUUUUUGUAACCAAUCUUCACGCAGAAGACCCUACGUCACCAGCAAUUGUUAUUAUCGUGGAGCCCAUAUGAAAGUGAUGAAAAUAAACGGCGUUUGUGAAGCAAUUACUAUCGAUUCUGUCAAUUUUGAUAAGUAUGAGGGGAGAUACUCUCUCUGUGUCUUAGACUGAGAUUAAAUAUUUCUUGAUGAAACUAAGACUUAAGUGUUCACGUGCAGCCUACAUAAAUUGCAAAUAUUGACAGAUGUGUUAAAAUUUGAUACGAUUUCAUUGUAGUCUUUGACUGCUACUUUGUUUCUUCAAGCUGUAUGUUGUC
Schistocerca serialis cubense is the source of this 887-nucleotide RNA transcript. It is a transcript of the gene named diacylglycerol kinase eta-like, with no coding region annotated. Lineage: Eukaryota; Metazoa; Arthropoda; Insecta; Orthoptera; Acrididae. The record is from RefSeq and is a predicted model, not a curated record. The transcript is spliced from 2 exons.